This 305-nucleotide ribosomal RNA is filed under the name uncultured bacterium. RNAcentral's name for it is "bacterial SSU rRNA". It matches the Rfam family "Bacterial small subunit ribosomal RNA", at positions 9 to 295 of the family's 1533-position model. The record is from RNAcentral.
GAGUUUGAUCGUGGCUCAGGAUGAACGCUGGCGGCGUGCCUAACGCAUGCAAGUCGAACGAAGCACUUUAUUCGAUUUUCUUCGGAGAUGAAGAUUUUGUGACUGAGUGGCGGACGGGUGAGUAACGCGUGGAUAACCUGCCUCAUACAGGGGGAUAACAGUUAGAAAUGACUGCUAAUACCGCAUAAGCGCACAGCACCGCAUGGUGCAGUGUGAAAAACUCCGGUGGUAUGAGAUGGAUCCGCGUCUGAUUAGCCAGUUGGCGGGUAACGGCCCACCAAAGCGACGAUCAGUAGCCGACCUGA